CAUAUACUUCCCCGUCCGGAAAUACUUGUCAUAGAAAUGAAUGUAUUUAGAUGUAUUUUAAUUUUAGACACAUCUAUUUUUAUUUAUUUGUGUGACAAGUAAUUCCGGACGAAGGGAGUAAUAC
This 124-nucleotide microRNA precursor is filed under the name Hordeum vulgare. RNAcentral describes it as "microRNA MIR1122". It matches the Rfam family "MIR1120/MIR1122 microRNA precursor family". Lineage: Eukaryota; Viridiplantae; Streptophyta; Magnoliopsida; Poales; Poaceae. The record is from RNAcentral.